AGAAAGAUUCUUGCCGACAGGAUCAUAGAAGAUUACAAAAAGAAUAUUUUCAUUCAUAUUUCAUCAAAGGUUUCCAGGUUCGAUCGCAAGCAUCAACAAAAAUAUAUUCGUGGGAUCAAAGCAUGUCGACUUACCGCUUGCUUCCUUUCCCAACUCUUCAUGGCCGACUUGUACUUCUCGAAUUCGUGGCACCAAUCCGAGUAUAUCUUCUGAUAGUCGUUUGACUUGGCUGGCGCAGAGCAUCUGUGUGCGUCCACUGUGAUGUUGUACGAGCAGAGGAGCGAAC
This 286-nucleotide unclassified non-coding RNA is filed under the name Bombus terrestris (buff-tailed bumblebee). Its description in RNAcentral is "misc RNA ENSBTSG00005025641.1". Lineage: Eukaryota; Metazoa; Arthropoda; Insecta; Hymenoptera; Apidae. The record is from RNAcentral.